RNAcentral lists this microRNA precursor (84 nucleotides) under Bombyx mori (domestic silkworm). RNAcentral's name for it is "mir-2807 microRNA precursor family". It matches the Rfam family "mir-2807 microRNA precursor family". Lineage: Eukaryota; Metazoa; Arthropoda; Insecta; Lepidoptera; Bombycidae. The record is from Rfam by way of RNAcentral.
UUAACUUAAAUUUGUAUGGAGUUGGAUCGUUUGCCUGCGUUUGCCGCUAGGGGCGUUGUUCCAAUUCCAUACAAGUUACAAGCG